RNAcentral lists this long non-coding RNA (306 nucleotides) under Vicia faba (fava bean). Lineage: Eukaryota; Viridiplantae; Streptophyta; Magnoliopsida; Fabales; Fabaceae. The record is from RNAcentral.
AUGAAACUGCUCAAAAUUGUUGUUGAUGAGGAAUGUGUGCAAGAGUACGGAGAAAUUGAUGAAGGUUUUGAGGUGUGUCGAGUUAGCUUUAUGUUAUGGUAUGAAGUUGAUGAGCUGGCAUCGGUUAUGGUAGUUAUAGGGUGGUUAAGAAGUUUUGGUUGUAACUGUUUUGGGUUUGGAAGUGGAGAAGUUGCAAAGGCACAGUUAAGCCAUGAAGUAAUAAGCAUGAAGAUUGGUCGUGGAAUUAGAAGAAUGAGAGUGAAGAUGGAUAAGUUUUGCAUAGGUUUAAGAAGGGUUAACAAGUAG